UAAAAGAGCUGAAUUGCUGUACAGAAUUCUUGGCAUCUGAAUGUUUGGCAAACUGUCUAGCUGUUUCUGGUCGUUUCUUUCUAAGUUUUGUUGAUUUGUUUUUAAGACAUCACUGGGCAUGUUCUUCCAUUUGACUCAACAGGAUGCCAGCACUGACGUUGAAAAUGACACAGCAAAAGAGCAAGUUUGUGUAAACGAUGAUGCUAAGUUAUUAAUAUUAUUAAUAAUCAAAUGCAGUGUGUGAUGACAUAAGGAAAGAACUAAGAAUUAUUGUUUAUUUAUAGUUACACAAUACACUAGGCA
Molecule: long non-coding RNA, 303 nt
Filed under: Homo sapiens (human)
Lineage: Eukaryota; Metazoa; Chordata; Mammalia; Primates; Hominidae
Description: HSALNT0125067
Source: RNAcentral